CAGUCGCCACGGUAAUACGUAGGUGGCAAGCGUUGUCCGGAAUUAUUGGGCGUAAAGGGCUCGCAGGCGGUUUCUUAAGUCUGAUGUGAAAGCCCCCGGCUCAACCGGGGAGGGUCAUUGGAGACUGGGAAACUUGAGUGCAGAAGAGGAGAGUGGAAUUCCACGUGUAGCGGUGAAAUGCGUAGAGAUGUGGAGGAACACCAGUGGCGAAGGCGACUCUCUGGUCUGUAACUGACGCUGAGGAGCGAAAGCGUGGGGAGCGAACAGGAUUAGAGACCCCAGUAGUCCCUGUCUCUUAUAU
This 301-nucleotide ribosomal RNA is filed under the name uncultured bacterium. RNAcentral describes it as "partial 16S ribosomal RNA". It matches the Rfam family "Bacterial small subunit ribosomal RNA", at positions 509 to 809 of the family's 1533-position model. The record is from RNAcentral.